AGUUUGAUCCUGGCUCAGGAUGAACGCUAGCUACAGGCUUAACACAUGCAAGUCGAGGGGCAGCAUGGUCUUAGCUUGCUAAGGCUGAUGGCGACCGGCGCACGGGUGAGUAACACGUAUCCAACCUGCCGUCUACUCUUGGCCAGCCUUCUGAAAGGAAGAUUAAUCCAGGAUGGCAUCAUGAGUUCACAUGUCCGCAUGAUUAAAGGUAUUUUCCGGUAGACGAUGGGGAUGCGUUCCAUUAGAUAGUAGGCGGGGUAACGGCCCACCUAGUCAACGAUGGAUAGGGGUUCUGAGAGGAAGGUCCCCCACAUUGGAACUGAGACACGGUCCAAACUCCUACGGGAGGCAGCAGUGAGGAAUAUUGGUCAAUGGGCGAUGGCCUGAACCAGCCAAGUAGCGUGAAGGAUGACUGCCCUAUGGGUUGUAAACUUCUUUUAUAAAGGAAUAAAGUCGGGUAUGCAUACCCGUUUGCAUGUACUUUAUGAAUAAGGAUCGGCUAACUCCGUGCCAGCAGCCGCGGUAAUACGGAGGAUCCGAGCGUUAUCCGGAUUUAUUGGGUUUAAAGGGAGCGUAGAUGGAUGUUUAAGUCAGUUGUGAAAGUUUGCGGCUCAACCGUAAAAUUGCAGUUGAUACUGGAUGUCUUGAGUGCAGUUGAGGCAGGCGGAAUUCGUGGUGUAGCGGUGAAAUGCUUAGAUAUCACGAAGAACUCCGAUUGCGAAGGCAGCCUGCUAAGCUGCAACUGACAUUGAGGCUCGAAAGUGUGGGUAUCAAACAGGAUUAGAUACCCUGGUAGUCCACACGGUAAACGAUGAAUACUCGCUGUUUGCGAUAUACGGCAAGCGGCCAAGCGAAAGCGUUAAGUAUUCCACCUGGGGAGUACGCCGGCAACGGUGAAACUCAAAGGAAUUGACGGGGGCCCGCACAAGCGGAGGAACAUGUGGUUUAAUUCGAUGAUACGCGAGGAACCUUACCCGGGCUUAAAUUGCACUCGAAUGAUCCGGAAACGGUUCAGCUAGCAAUAGCGAGUGUGAAGGUGCUGCAUGGUUGUCGUCAGCUCGUGUCGUGAGGUGUCGGCUUAAGUGCCAUAACGAGCGCAACCCUUGUUGUCAGUUACUAACAGGUGAUGCUGAGGACUCUGACAAGACUGCCAUCGUAAGAUGUGAGGAAGGUGG
This 1175-nucleotide ribosomal RNA is filed under the name uncultured Bacteroides sp. Its description in RNAcentral is "bacterial SSU rRNA". It matches the Rfam family "Bacterial small subunit ribosomal RNA", at positions 10 to 1176 of the family's 1533-position model. Lineage: Bacteria; Pseudomonadati; Bacteroidota; Bacteroidia; Bacteroidales; Bacteroidaceae. The record is from RNAcentral.